GAUGAAGAACGCAGCGAAAUGCGAUAAGUAAUGUGAAUUGCAGAAUUCAGUGAAUCAUCGAAUCUUUGAACGCACCUUGCGCCCUUUGGCUAUUCCGAAGGGCAUGCCUGUUUGAGUAUCAUGAACACCUCAACUCUCAUGGUUUGCCAUGAUGAGCUAGGACUUUGGGGGUCUUGCCGGCCUAUGGGUCGGCUCCUCUCAAAUUAAUCAGCUUGCCAGUGUUUGGUGGCAUCACAGGUGUGAUAACUAUCUACGCUUGUGGUUUUCCAUCAGGUAACCUUCAGUGAUGGAGGUUCGCUGGGGCUCAUAAAUGUCUCUCCUCAGUGAGGACAGCUUUUUUGAACGUUUGAUCUCAAAUCAGGUAGGACUACCCGCUGAACUUAAGCAUAUCAAUAAGCGGAGGA
This 404-nucleotide unclassified non-coding RNA is filed under the name soil metagenome. RNAcentral's name for it is "partial contains 5.8S ribosomal RNA, internal transcribed spacer 2, and large subunit ribosomal RNA". The stretch from base 1 to 121 matches the Rfam family "5.8S ribosomal RNA", at positions 35 to 154 of the family's 154-position model. The record is from RNAcentral.